UGGACAUGGGGGCACCCUGACCGCAAUGCCGCGUGAGUGAAGAAGGCCUUCGGGUUGUAAAGCUCUUUUGUCAGGGAAGAAACACCGGCUCUAACACAGUCCGGGAAUGACGGUACCUGAAGAAUAAGCACCGGCUAACUACGUGCCAGCAGCCGCGGUAAUACGUAGGGUGCAAGCGUUAAUCGGAAUUACUGGGCGUAAAGCGUGCGCAGGCGGUUAUACAAGACAGGCGUGAAAUCCCCGGGCUUAACCUGGGAAUGGCGCCUGUGACUGUAUAGCUAGAGUGUGUCAGAGGGGGGUAGAAUUCCACGUGUAGCAGUGAAAUGCGUAGAUAUGUGGAGGAAUACCAAUGGCGAAGGCAGCCCCCUGGGAUAACACUGACGCUCAUGCACGAAA
This 396-nucleotide ribosomal RNA is filed under the name uncultured bacterium. RNAcentral describes it as "bacterial SSU rRNA". It matches the Rfam family "Bacterial small subunit ribosomal RNA", at positions 366 to 758 of the family's 1533-position model. The record is from RNAcentral.